This 780-nucleotide long non-coding RNA is filed under the name Jatropha curcas. Its description in RNAcentral is "long non-coding RNA (JCUR_LNC001322)". The record is from RNAcentral. Lineage: Eukaryota; Viridiplantae; Streptophyta; Magnoliopsida; Malpighiales; Euphorbiaceae.
UUUAAAUCAUCAAUCACGAAAGAGAACACAUGUAGUUGAUAAAUUCUUUUCUACAACAAUCUAUGAAGAACAAAUUUUAUAGUUUGCAAUUUCUAUAUCAUUACUUCUGCACGAAAAUUUCUUAAUGACCAAAACUGUACUUGAACUACAAAUGAAACACACCAAAAUAGGAUAGAAAAGAGAGAGAGGGGAGAGAUACUAACAGAAAGCAAAGUUUGAACAGCAUAUCUAAACUCCUCUCUUGCCUACCUCCCUAAGGCCCCAUAUUUAAAACUCGAUAGAAACCAAAUACUGGUUAUGGUGAGAAUCGAUAAAAGCCAAAGAAGCAGAAGCUUUAUACUCCAUUUCUUGACAAAGUUAGGCCCAUGCAAAGAAUCCUUUUGUUUCUGCAACUUUAAAUUUGAUGGUAUGUGUCAUUUAUGCUAGAACGUUCAGAAUUCAUAGACAACCUGUGAAACUUCACAAAAGGCCUUGAAAUGUUCACAAAUCCCAAUUCCAACAGCACCAUUCAUCAAAAUCACCCCUCCAAGAAAACUCCACUAAUGAUGAAAAUUCAAUUUGAGAGCCUUCAAAUUGCUAAAAACCCCACCUCAUAUAACUCAUAAUAAAUCAUUGCUUUGCAAACAAAAGCCACUUAGAAACCACAAGGAAUAAUCCAAAAUUAUAUAAAAACAACUCUAAUUUUGCAGCAACCCAAGAAAACAAGUGGUCCACCCCCUCUAAUCUCUCCUUAAUAUUACCUAAUCAAGAAAUUAAACCGUAAUGUAAGGAGGGAGUAAU